RNAcentral lists this ribosomal RNA (716 nucleotides) under Pseudomonas aeruginosa. RNAcentral describes it as "bacterial SSU rRNA". It matches the Rfam family "Bacterial small subunit ribosomal RNA", at positions 83 to 794 of the family's 1533-position model. The record is from RNAcentral. Lineage: Bacteria; Pseudomonadati; Pseudomonadota; Gammaproteobacteria; Pseudomonadales; Pseudomonadaceae.
GUCCUGGAUUCAGCGGCGGACGGGUGAGUAAUGCCUAGGAAUCUGCCUGGUAGUGGGGGAUAACGUCCGGAAACGGGCGCUAAUACCGCAUACGUCCUGAGGGAGAAAGUGGGGGAUCUUCGGACCUCACGCUAUCAGAUGAGCCUAGGUCGGAUUAGCUAGUUGGUGGGGUAAAGGCCUACCAAGGCGACGAUCCGUAACUGGUCUGAGAGGAUGAUCAGUCACACUGGAACUGAGACACGGUCCAGACUCCUACGGGAGGCAGCAGUGGGGAAUAUUGGACAAUGGGCGAAAGCCUGAUCCAGCCAUGCCGCGUGUGUGAAGAAGGUCUUCGGAUUGUAAAGCACUUUAAGUUGGGAGGAAGGGCAGUAAGUUAAUACCUUGCUGUUUUGACGUUACCAACAGAAUAAGCACCGGCUAACUUCGUGCCAGCAGCCGCGGUAAUACGAAGGGUGCAAGCGUUAAUCGGAAUUACUGGGCGUAAAGCGCGCGUAGGUGGUUCAGCAAGUUGGAUGUGAAAUCCCCGGGCUCAACCUGGGAACUGCAUCCAAAACUACUGAGCUAGAGUACGGUAGAGGGUGGUGGAAUUUCCUGUGUAGCGGUGAAAUGCGUAGAUAUAGGAAGGAACACCAGUGGCGAAGGCGACCACCUGGACUGAUACUGACACUGAGGUGCGAAAGCGUGGGGAGCAAACAGGAUUAGAUACCCCUGGUAGA